Molecule: long non-coding RNA, 455 nt
Organism: Motacilla alba alba
Lineage: Eukaryota; Metazoa; Chordata; Aves; Passeriformes; Motacillidae
Exons: 3
Source: RefSeq, a predicted model, not a curated record
CAUUAUAAAGGUAGGGAGGAUAAGCCUAUGUGUUCCAGGUUAUUAUAUUUGUCUACUCAGUUCUCCUCGCUGUUUUGGCUGCAAAGGAGCACCCAUCUUAAUGUUCUUGCAGGGUAAUAAACAGCUGCUGCAUUUCAACUUGGAGGUGAUGGCAUUUUGCGGUGGAUAAAAUGAUUCAUGGCUUGGGUUCUUUUGAGCUGAAAGAACCAAUGGGGUCGGUAUUCCCAGGAUGGGGAGACUUGGACAGGGUGCCAGAACUCAGCCACUACACGUGGGACUGCAAGAAGAGAGAGCUGUAAACUACUGCAGGGAAGAAACGUUUUCCAGAUGACACUGCUCCAUAAAUGGUGUGGUAGGAUGUCAAUUAACUGUGAUGGGAGUUGCACAUCUCUAGAGUCUUCACGAGAUCUCUUUUGACAAUGAAGUGUCAUUUUGGAGAUAAAUGAAACAUGUGU